RNAcentral lists this ribosomal RNA (358 nucleotides) under uncultured eukaryote. RNAcentral's name for it is "SSU rRNA". It matches the Rfam family "Eukaryotic small subunit ribosomal RNA", at positions 587 to 960 of the family's 1831-position model. The record is from RNAcentral.
AGCUCCGAUAGCGUAUAUUAAAGUUGUUGCAGUUAAAAAGCUCGUAGUUGAACUUCUACGUACGGCAGCACGCCUUUUGGUUUGAGUUGCUGUAUGUAUCCCCUUUGAGUUCGUAGCAUGCACUUAGUUGAGCAGUUACAUACUCAAGGAAUUUACUUUGAAAAAUUAGAGUGUUUCAAGCAGGCGAAUUGCUGGAAUACAUUAGCAUGGAAUAAUAGAACACGACCUCUUUGUCAUUUUAUUGGUACUAUGGUGAGAGGUAAUGAUUAACAGGGACAGUUGGGGGCAUUAGUAUGGCAUUGUCAGAGGUGAAAUUCAUUGAUUAAUGCUAGACUAACUUAUGCGAAAGCAUUUGCCA